This 406-nucleotide ribosomal RNA is filed under the name uncultured Glomus. Its description in RNAcentral is "SSU rRNA". It matches the Rfam family "Eukaryotic small subunit ribosomal RNA", at positions 569 to 980 of the family's 1831-position model. Lineage: Eukaryota; Fungi; Glomeromycota; Glomeromycetes; Glomerales; Glomeraceae. The record is from RNAcentral.
AGCAGCCGCGGUAAUUCCAGCUCCAAUAGCGUAUAUUAAAGUUGUUGCAGUUAAAAAGCUCGUAGUUAAAUUUCGGAAUCAGUACGCCGGUCAUGCUUCGGUAUGUACUAGUGUCACUGAUUCCUUCCUUCUGACGAACCGUCAUGCCAUUAAUUUAGUGUGACGGGGAAUCAGGACUGUUACUUUGAAAAAAUUAGAGUGUUUAAAGCAGGCUCGCGCUUGAAUACAUUAGCAUGGAAUAAUGAAAUAGGACGUUGAUCUUAUUUUGUUGGUUUCUUAGAUCGACGUAAUGAUUAAUAGGGAUAGUUGGGGGCAUUAGUAUUCAAUUGUUAGAGGUGAAAUUCUUGGAUUUAUUGAAGACUAACUACUGCGAAAGCAUUUGCCAAGGAUAGUUUUCAUUAAUCAA